UCGUUCUGAGAUCUUGUGAAAUUUUCUUGUUGAAAAAGAUUCACCAAAAACACACUUUUUUUUGGCAAAUUUGCAAAUUUUGUUUUUUUUAAGGAAAAGAACUGCAAAGGAAAAAAACAUUGCAGUAUAUUCUGACCCAUCAUGGCGUUUUAUUAAUUUCUUUCAUUUCAUUAAUUAAGAAAAUUAUUUUAUAAGCGCGGUUAAAACCGAGAAGUUUUCACAAAAGAAAAUUACCAGAUUUUAUACGGACGGUCGGAGAAGCGGUCCCAUCAAACCAUUUUCAAUAGCGUUCGUGUGUGGGUUCGGUCAGUGUACCAAAUUUUGUCAAAAUGUCUUGAAAAUUGAGGCUUGUGGGUGGAACACAAGACUACAUGGACAGCGAGAUGUAUAGAUGUAUAACCAAACUUAAAUCUAUUCGAAAAAUGAUUUUGAAUAGAUGGGUAUAAAACAAGUUGAGUCUAUCUGAAAUCCCAUAUCCAUUUCUUUUCGUUUCGCUGCAAGAAAAAUUAAAAAGAUAUAAAAUAUCAUUUGGGCUUUUGAAGAAAACUUUAGAGUCUUAACAAUUGUAGACUGGGGUAAUUGCUGAUGCCAUGGAGAUAUAGAGGCUAGCGCAUAUAUUUAGUCGUUAAUAAAAGGAGUUUCAAACAUUGUUUUAAGGAAUGGUAUUGUCUAUGUGCAUAUCUUUCUUAUUGAUAUCCUACAAUAAAUUAUUGUCUUCAAAAUUUCGCAGAUUUUGAAAAAAUUCGUCGCGCCGGUGAGUUUUUUUUCGAAUAAUUUCAUUCUUCGCCAUUAAGUAAAUGCUAACCAAUUCCUAUUUGGUGACGUCUUUCCGUUUUGUUUCUGUUUUAUGUCUUUUUUUUCGUAGCACGCACGCACAAGCGCCCGCAGGUGUUUCUACUAUAGCGUUAAUGUGCGGAUGUACGUGUUCGUGCUGCUUUCACAUUUAAUACAUCACUAUAUAAGUUGGUAGGAUAAUAUAUUUUGCUACAUUUUUUGCAAAUGCAAACUCUAUAUGUUGAUUGCAACAAAUAUGAAAGAAAAAAGGUGACGUGUCUGCAGAAAAAACAUAACGAAUCAACUUGAUGGUAGAGGAACGAGGACCGUGUCUUAUUAGUUGAAACGGUGCAAGGGCAUAUAAAGUUUGUGCGAAUGUAUGCAUCACCGAAGCACAGAAGAACUUCAGGUUUUUAUUAUGCUCGAUCUAUUCAGAAUCGCUUUUUGCAUCGAUCUAAACUUAUCUGUAUGGCUGCCCGCCUGUCCAUCUUUUGACAAAAUGCGGUACACUUUGUGUAAUAUUCUUGACCCAAGAGGAAACGUUACUGAAAAUGGCUCGGAUCCUACCAAUCUUUCACCGACUUGUCUUAUAAAGUCCUAUUUUAAAAAAUCGAUAUAUGAAAAACUGUAGGAUGGCGAAGUUUAUAGACCCAUUUUUUUAUUAUACCGAUCGAUUCAGAAAGUGAUUCUGAAUAAAAUUGUCCUCUCGUCUGUCCGUUAUGUAUUCUUGGUUUUGAUCCACUUAAGUUCGUGCAAUGUAUAGAAUUUCUUCCUCGCAACUUUGUAUAUCUAAAUUGUCAAGGUUAGACCUAUUUGAAGGAAAUCUGCCUCUUCAUUGGAAAAACUCCAAAAGUUAACUGAAGUGCAUGUGGUCUAUAUCUGAUUUAAGAACGGAAAUCAAAGGGAAAAUUUGUUUUUAAACUUCUUCAAAUAUCACUUAGAAUCUAUUACCCUUGUUCUGAUCUCAGAAAUUGUGAAAAAUGCGGCCUUUUAGAAUGACUAAACUAACAAUGUUCGCUUAUUAUUGUUCAGAAAGCUCAAGCAAGGAGGAUCAAGCUUUCAAACCUUGAAUUCUUAAGUUUUCGAACGUUCGAGCAUUCGAAGUUACAACCCUUCAAAACUUGGAUCUUGAAGUUUUUGAAAGUUCAAUCGUUCGAACUUGUUGUGUAAAAAUGCCACUGAAGUGAAGAAAAUUUAAGUCGAUAUUGUUGAAUAUGCGGAUAAACAAUCCCUUAAGUUAGUCCAUGGGAAAUAGAAAUGCUGUCCAUGAAGCGCUUAGAAGGCCCUCUGCGAGUAAUACUGUGGCGCCCUUGGGCGGUGUCGACUUACGUACAAUAUAAGGAACUGACGUGUAGGCUUAGCUCGGAAUUAAACCGGCAGUGCACAGAAUUGCAAGGGAGACGAAUAUGAACAAAAGGUAGUCUGCUUUAUUGAAAUGUUUCAUCGAAUUACUGCCGCUACACCCAGAUACAUUGAAAAUCUAUGUCGACUGUUUUUACAAAUUGAAAAGAAACUUAUGAUAGAGUCUUCGUCGCCAUACUACAAGUUUUUCGUUCUCUGUUAAAGGGUCACGCCUUAGAUGUUCGCCACGUUGUAAGGCAAGCUCUAGAUAUUCUAACACUGGCUUUGCCUUUACGUAGGGAGGAUGGCAGGACUAUGCUUACACACUGGACGAAGAAGAUAAUUGUUGAAGAGCGUCAUUCCAUGCAGCAACUUUUCCAAAUUUCCUCUUAAUCAUAGCGGUUUGUUGGCGUUUUUUACUAUGUAGUUUGAUUUAUAUCUGUAACGAGGUGUAUUUCCCUGUACGUCACCAAUUAGUUACCCAUUUAGUCAAUUAUACGCAACGCUUUGGUUUCCUUUCUUUGGUCUCCAUCAUAAAAACUAGCUAUGGAUUUAGCUGAUGUUAUUAUCAAAUGGGAAUUGCAACGUAUUAAAGCAGACGAAACUGAAAACAAAAUAUUAUCGGGCAGCAUGGAAGACGACGGAGAUGACAACACUUCUUUAAAAAGGCGUUGCAAUGAAGAUUAUGCGUAUUAAUUGGAUACCUGGGAUGUUUUCAAUUUAUAACAUAUAUAUAUACUGUUAAAUUUUCUUCGACUUUACAGCUAAAUUCAGCUAAAAUAUAUGCCUUUACGUAUGGAGGACGGCAAGUUAUAGAGAGGCUGAUCGUAACAACACCUUGUAGUCAUUCAUGUAUGUAAACAUCAUUUGUGUAACGUUCAAAAUUUAAGUUUUUUACCUUUUAUUGUAUUGGAGCAAUUAGAUAUCAGCAAUUAAGAAAAUAAAUGC
Molecule: long non-coding RNA, 3063 nt
Organism: Glossina fuscipes
Lineage: Eukaryota; Metazoa; Arthropoda; Insecta; Diptera; Glossinidae
Exons: 3
Source: RefSeq, a predicted model, not a curated record